RNAcentral lists this ribosomal RNA (498 nucleotides) under uncultured bacterium. Its description in RNAcentral is "partial 16S ribosomal RNA". It matches the Rfam family "Bacterial small subunit ribosomal RNA", at positions 30 to 523 of the family's 1533-position model. The record is from RNAcentral.
AUUGAACGCUGGCGGCAUGCCUUACACAUGCAAGUCGAACGGUAACAGGUCUUCGGAUGCUGACGAGUGGCGAACGGGUGAGUAAUACAUCGGAACGUGCCUAGUAGUGGGGGAUAACUACUCGAAAGAGUGGCUAAUACCGCAGGAGAUCUACGGAUGAAAGCAGGGGAUCGCAAGACCUUGUGCUACUAGAGCGGCCGAUGGCAGAUUAGGUAGUUGGUGGGUUAAAAGCGUACCAAGCCGACGAUCUGUAGCUGGUCUGAGAGGACGAUCAGCCACACUGGGACUGAGACACGGCCCAGACUCCUACGGGAGGCAGCAGUGGGGAAUUUUGGACAAUGGGCGAAAGCCUGAUCCAGCAAUGCCGCGUGCAGGAUGAAGGCCUUCGGGUUGUAAACUGCUUUUGUACGGAACGAAAAGCCCCGGGUUAAUACCCUGGGGUCAUGACGGUACCGUAAGAAUAAGCACCGGCUAACUACGUGCCAGCAGCCGCCGUAA